Molecule: transfer RNA, 56 nt
Filed under: Pseudophacopteron aewagriini
Lineage: Eukaryota; Metazoa; Arthropoda; Insecta; Hemiptera; Phacopteronidae
Description: tRNA-Cys
Source: RNAcentral
AAGUUUAUUAGUCAAUAAUGAUAUUAAAUUGCAAAUUUAGAGGUUAAAUAUAAACU